UUUAUGGAGAGUUUGAUCCUGGCUCAGGAUGAACGCUGGCGGCGUGCCUAAUACAUGCAAGUCGAGCGAACGGACGAGAAGCUUGCUUCUCUGAUGUUAGCGGCGGACGGGUGAGUAACACGUGGAUAACCUACCUAUAAGACUGGGAUAACUUCGGGAAACUGGAGCUAAUACCGGAUAAUAUUUUG
RNAcentral lists this ribosomal RNA (188 nucleotides) under Staphylococcus aureus. RNAcentral's name for it is "partial 16S ribosomal RNA". It matches the Rfam family "Bacterial small subunit ribosomal RNA", at positions 1 to 183 of the family's 1533-position model. Lineage: Bacteria; Bacillati; Bacillota; Bacilli; Caryophanales; Staphylococcaceae. The record is from RNAcentral.